Long non-coding RNA from Magnolia sinica, 1546 nucleotides. RefSeq lists it as uncharacterized. NCBI's taxonomy places the organism in Eukaryota, Viridiplantae, Streptophyta, Magnoliopsida, Magnoliales, Magnoliaceae. The record is from RefSeq and is a predicted model, not a curated record. The transcript is spliced from 3 exons.
UUUCAGCAGCGUGGAGGUUGGAGCACGCAGCGGACUUUAGGAACUUGAUUAUCAAUAUAUGUAUUUCCCUUUCAGUACUGUAUUCAACUGUUUAUAUUAGUGAAUAUGUGAUGAUGAUAUUGCUUUUAUGAUUUGGGUAAACUUGUAGUUAUGCUUCUUAUGAGAUAAAUGUAUGUUGGAAAAUCCUCCUUGUAGGAUCCCAGGAUCGGAACCUGGUGUAUGGCCACUGGGAGCCGAGAAUGGGGUACUACGGAGGCUGUCGGCACCGGAUUCGACGAUCGAGAAUUUUGUGAACCCGGUUUCCGAGUUUGGGGUGUAACACCAAUGGCCAAAAAAACAAAACAAAGAAAUAAAAACUAUAGAAAAAUGAACACAAAUAUUUGCUAGAAUAUUGAUCAUAGAAAUUGAAUGAACUUACUAAAAUUCCAGAUUAAUUGCUGAAAUUUCACCAUUACUUGCUACUUUUGUGAUUAAAUACUCCAAUUGUCAUAUUUCACGAAUGCUUACUUAAGUUGCCUUAUUCUAGAUCAAUUGUCUUUCCUUAUUUCUUUUAUUGGGUGUUUUAUCAGUAAAUUCUUUUGGAUGUAACCUGCCAGCAAAUUUUACCACCUGUACUCAACUCCUUUUCUGACCAAGAUAGCAGGGUGCAUUAUUGUUCUUGUGAAGCAUUAUAUACCAUAGCAGAGCUGCUUUGCAGGUUGCAAGAGGAGAUUUCAUUGUAUUCUUUAAUAUUUUCAACUAAUAACAAGGAUAUUAUAUAAUCAAUAAUUCUGCAAUUUAUGGAUUUCUCCAGGAGAUUUAAACAAACUCUCUAGUAAGACUUCAAUUCUCCAUCUAUGGCAGUUCUUAUAUCUUAUAUAACAAACUUAACGAUUUUUCUUCCUUACAAGACAUUAUCAAAACAUUUUCCCUUUUUUUUUUUUUUGGUUUCCCCUAGUUUAUGGCUUAAUCUAGACAAGAAAAUGUUGUUGGAUAGUUCUUUUUAUGGGCAGAAUGGUGCUAGAGAUCCAUAUUUAUUUGACCAAGCAUUUUAAAUGAAUUUGAGCAGUGGUGUAUGAAUCUUUUUUUCUGGUUUUAUAGUUAUUUAGAAUUUAUUUAUUUUUUCAUAUGGGAGCUCUGUUUGACGGUUUGGAUUAUGACAAUUUUCAAAUUGUUGUAUUGAUCUUUGAUCCCUUUAUUCCUCUUCUGAAAAAUUGUCAUGUUGGGAGCUUUUGGGAGCUCUUGACUGCACUUAACCUGUUUGGGCAUGACAUAACACUGACUGAAGCAGUGAGACGGUUUUACACAUUUGUAGAUGACAUAAAUACAUCACUGCUCCCUGCUGACACAAGAAAGGCGACAUAUGUUGUUGUAAUGCAGACCGUCACAACAUCAAACAGAUCUGCAUAUGAAUCUCUUCUAAAAGUUUAUAGAGAGACUGAUCUAAGCCAAGAGAAAGUGCUAUUCUAAGUAUGUCAAGACCUAUAUGAAUUUUAAGGAAAUUGAUUCGGUCCAUUUUACUUCUGGGCAAUAAUCUCUCUUAUCAUUCUUUGUAGGUUCACUGGCA